Molecule: RNA transcript, 2547 nt
Organism: Helianthus annuus (common sunflower)
Lineage: Eukaryota; Viridiplantae; Streptophyta; Magnoliopsida; Asterales; Asteraceae
Gene name: SET and MYND domain-containing protein 4
Exons: 15
Source: RefSeq, a predicted model, not a curated record
UAAAACCCCAACAAAGGGGUUUUGUUUUCAGGUCAUCGUAUCAAUGGAGAAACUCAAAUCAGCAAUCUCACAAACCCUAAUUCUCUCAAUUUCUCAAAGCAAUCCUCCAAAUCUUCAUAACACUUGCUCAUCUCUCCAUGAAUUCUUCAAUCAGUUGCCCCAAUUCCACCAGAUGAUCGAAGAUUUAGCGCACACGAACACGUCGCUGUGUCUCAAGAACGAGGAAUCUGCUUUGGAAUUCAAACUCAAGGGGAACAACUGCCUCUCCAAUGGAGAUAAUUCAAAUGCGUUGCGAUUCUACACACAGGCACUACGAGUUGCUCCGAGAGAUGUGGAUGUUAUGGGAAAGAAUCUGGUGGCAACACUGUAUGUGAAUCGUGCGGCUGUAUUGCAGAAAAUGGGUCUUUUUCUGGAGUCUCUACGGGAUUGCAAUCGGGCUCUUGCAAUUUGUAGAAGUUACUCAAAGGCAUGGUAUAGAAGAGGUAAGGCAAACACGUCUAUGCAAAAUUAUAACGAUGCAGUUUGUGACUUGAAAGUUUCACUAUGCAUGGAACACUCUUUAAGCGGAAAACGACAGAUAGAAGGCGAGAUGAAGCUCAUUCUAGGUCAAAACAACGGUGAAGACUUUCCACCGAAUGUUAUUAAGUGCAAAGAGUCCGACAUCCAUGAUCAACUACAAGAUAUACAAUUGCAGUGUGUAGAAACGGAAACGAAAGGAAGAGGCAUGGUGUCAUUGACCGACAUACCUCAAGCCACGUUGCUUCAUGCAGAGGAACCAUAUGCUGCGAUAGUAUCAAAGAAUUGUCGAGAAACACAUUGCCAUUUCUGCUUUAACGAACUACCAGCAGAUAUCGUUCCAUGUUCAUCUUGCUCGAUGGCUUUGUAUUGCUCUCAGCUGUGCCAAAUACGUGCCAGAGGUCAAGACCGACAGUUUCAUACAAAGAAACAUGAUAUUGGUUUUAAUUUGGCUAGUGAUCUUGAGAAUUACGUUGCAAGUGUUACGAAGGCAAUUGACGAUGGUGUGAAUAUCAAGCAACAUGCAGAGCAUAAACAUGAAUGUGGAGUAAAUUGGCCCAUUGCGCUACCGGCUGAAAUAGUAUUGGGGGGUCGAGUUAUAGUGAAGUCUAUAGAACAAAAUAAAUGUUUUGGUGAAUCUUCCGCUAUUGUGAAUUUGGAGCUUUGUCACAAUUAUUUACAACUUGAUCCAGAAGCUAAACUGGAGUUACACAUAUCUUCAAUAGUUCUUAUGAAGUGUCUUCACCAUUGUUAUGGCUCCAACAUUCCAUUAACUGGCGACACUAUAUCACAGUGUGUCUUGCUUCUGUCACAAAUCAAAGUGAAUUCUAUGGCAAUUGUUCGUAUGAGAUCUGCUGAUUCAAUUGGUCCCCCAAGCUCAGCUGGGAAUAAUACAACUAGCACUGUGGAACAGGUGAGAGUUGGUCAAGCUAUUUAUUUGGCCGGAAGCUUGUACAACCAUUCUUGCCAGCCGAAUAUCCACACAUAUUUUCUUUCUCGAACUCUAUACAUACGAGCAAUAGGUUUCGUGACAGCAGGUCAUCCACUUGAGCUCUCUUACGGGCCCCAGGUUGGCCAGUGGAGUUGUAACAACCGCCAGUCGUCUUUAAAAGAGCAAUAUGCAUUUGUAUGUUCAUGCACCGGCUGCUCACAAAUAAACCUAUCUGACCUUGUUAUAAAUUCUUUUCGGUGUACGAAUAAGAAUUGUUCGGGUGCAGUCUUGGAUAGUUCUGUGGCCGAUUAUGAACAACAGAAAAUCAACCCCUUUUCUUGUGGGUUACCUCUGCAGGUUGGUAGGGUCCAACGGGACGAGGUCAAGAAAGUGGCAAGCUUUUUGUGUGAAGAAACUGGUUCGACCCAUCGGAUUAAACCCGGGUUUUGUUUGAGCUGCGGUGCUUUCCGUGACCUGGAAGCUUCAAAUGCUGUAGUAAAAAAGGCGGAGAUUUGUAUCGGAAGAUCAGGUUGGAGGGUUUAUUAGAUUCUGGUGAAUGGCAUAACGCUACACUUUCAAAUGCUUUAAGAUCAUUAGAUCUACUAAAAUCAGCACUGCAUCCAUACAACAAGAAGGUUGCUGAGGCAGAGGAUUACAUCGCACAGGCAUUUUGUUUAAUCGGAGAACUACAGAGGUCACGCGACCAUUGUCAAGCAUCGAUCAAGAUAUUAGAGAAGCUUUAUGGUGAUGACAACAUUGUAAUUGGAAACGAAAUGGUGAAACUAGCAUCCAUUCAACUGUUUUUGGGUGAACAUACUGUUGAAGAAAGUAGAAAUCGGAUCAGUUUGGUCUUUUCACGGCAUUACGGGUCACAUGUAGAUGCUAUAUUCCCCCAUCUUCAGUUCCUAAAUAGAAGCGUCUAGAGCUCGGGUUCACUCAUAAACGGGUUGAUGUUGAUUUGAGUUAUUGAUAAUCUAAAAUGGGCCCAAUGAAAUUUCUUAGCUAAAAAAAGAAAGGCUUAGAUGCUCUAAACGUGUUGUAAUCAUGUGAAUUCAAACAUUUAGAUUAUUAUUGCCAUCAUAUUGUUUAUCAACUAUAUA